Molecule: ribosomal RNA, 512 nt
Filed under: uncultured bacterium
Lineage: Bacteria
Description: bacterial SSU rRNA
Rfam family: Bacterial small subunit ribosomal RNA
Source: RNAcentral
GACGAACGCUGGCGGCGUGCUUAAAACAUGCAAGUCGAACGGACUUCUCAUGAAGCUUGCGAUUGAGAAGUUAGUGGCGGACGGGUGAGUAACGCGUGGGCAACCUGCCCCUGAGCCCGGGAUAACAGUUCGAAAGGACUGCUAAGACCGGAUAUACUUGCGGGGAAGCAUUUCUCUGUAAGGAAAGGGAACGCUCAGGGAUGGGCCCGCGUCCCAUUAGCUAGUUGGUGAGGUAACGGCCCACCAAGGCGACGAUGGGUAGCCGGCCUGAGAGGGUGAACGGCCACACUGGGACUGAGACACGGCCCAGACUCCUACGGGAGGCAGCAGUUGGGAAUCUUCGGCAAUGGGCGCAAGCCUGACCGAGCAACGCCGCGUGAGUGAUGAAGGUUUUCGGAUUGUAAAGCUCUGUCUUCCGGGACGAUAAUGACGGUACCGGAGGAGGAAGCCACGGCUAACUACGUGCCAGCAGCCGCGGUAAACCGAGAGACGUCGAGCGGCGUCGCGAGACG